RNAcentral lists this long non-coding RNA (201 nucleotides) under Brassica rapa (field mustard). RNAcentral's name for it is "long non-coding RNA (BRAP_LNC004858)". The record is from RNAcentral. Lineage: Eukaryota; Viridiplantae; Streptophyta; Magnoliopsida; Brassicales; Brassicaceae.
UGAGUCAUUUACGAGGAAAACUACGUAAAUUCUUCGUUAAAGUUUACUUGGAAUUUACUACGGAAGACACACAGAUUCGUCGUAAAGUUUACAUGUCUUUUUCAACGAAACGGAGCGUGGACUUUAUGAGGAAAGUACAAUCGGUACCUUACGUGUAUUGUACGACGAAAUAUUAGUCUCUUCUUUACGAUGAAAGUUUUC